GAUGAACGCUGGCGGCGUGCCUAAUACAUGCAAGUCGAGCGAACGGACGAGAAGCUUGCUUCUCUGAUGUUAGCGGCGGACGGGUGAGUAACACGUGGAUAACCUACCUAUAAGACUGGGAUAACUUCGGGAAACCGGAGCUAAUACCGGAUAAUAUUUUGAACCGCAUGGUUCAAAAGUGAAAGACGGUCUUGCUGUCACUUAUAGAUGGAUCCGCGCUGCAUUAGCUAGUUGGUAAGGUAACGGCUUACCAAGGCAACGAUGCAUAGCCGACCUGAGAGGGUGAUCGGCCACACUGGAACUGAGACACGGUCCAGACUCCUACGGGAGGCAGCAGUAGGGAAUCUUCCGCAAUGGGCGAAAGCCUGACGUAGCAACGCCGCGUGAGUGAUGAAGGUCUUCGGAUCGUAAAACUCUGUUAUUAGGGAAGAACAUAUGUGUAAGUAACUGUGCACAUCUUGACGGUACCUAAUCAGAAAGCCACGGCUAACUACGUG
This 497-nucleotide ribosomal RNA is filed under the name uncultured bacterium. Its description in RNAcentral is "partial 16S ribosomal RNA". It matches the Rfam family "Bacterial small subunit ribosomal RNA", at positions 28 to 507 of the family's 1533-position model. The record is from RNAcentral.